Molecule: long non-coding RNA, 529 nt
Organism: Nerophis lumbriciformis (worm pipefish)
Lineage: Eukaryota; Metazoa; Chordata; Actinopteri; Syngnathiformes; Syngnathidae
Source: RefSeq, a predicted model, not a curated record
CUCAAACAGUAGUUGCGGGAUUUCCUAGCCUCCCUGAACGUCCCGCCGACAUCUUUGAUUGGUGUCACCUGUGUUGAUGUCGACAGGAAGAUAGAAGCUUCUACAUGAGGGACAUUUUCAUCUGGUGCUUCCAGAGGAUGUCAGGACCACUCAGGGAACUGUCCCCUUUGAAAGUGAACCAAGAGCAGCACUAUCUUCAUGCCAUGGAAGGCAUUCAUCACGUCUGAAGAUGGAGGAUCAGGAGCAGACAAUGGCUGACUGUGGCAUCUGAAGCAGACAUUCCCAUUGUCACGGCGUGGACUAUGAAGCAGCUUGCUGCGAGGAUUUCGCAGCUCGCCGCGAGGAAUGUUUUCCCGUGGUGCAAACGGACAGGACCGGACAUCGGAAGAAGGUAGGAACAUGAUUUAAUCUCUACUCAAUAAAGUACAAACAAAAACAAAAGGCGCACACAAGGCGGAGACACAAACUUGGCGCAGAGUACAAAAACUAACACUUAAACAGACUAAGGACAUGAAACAAAAAAACACUU